Hippocampus zosterae (dwarf seahorse) is the source of this 525-nucleotide long non-coding RNA. RefSeq lists it as uncharacterized. Lineage: Eukaryota; Metazoa; Chordata; Actinopteri; Syngnathiformes; Syngnathidae. The transcript is spliced from 3 exons. The record is from RefSeq and is a predicted model, not a curated record.
AACUACAUGUACAAAUUCUGCGCUGGUUAAAGGUCCAGUUCGUGACAUAGUCGCUACAACUUUUGCGCCAAAGGUGCUGCUUAAUUCCUUUUCAUCACGAGCUCGCUCUGUACCUUUUUGUUUGAUUUUAUUUAUUGAUUAGAUGUUGGAGCGGCACGUUCGCGGGUGUGCUGGUGCCUAGCCCAACUGUCUUUGGGCAGUAGGCGGGGGACACCCUGAACUGGUUGCCAGCCAAUCGAAGGGGCUCUCAUCAGUGUAAAAUAUGGGGUCACAUGGAACCUGGAGCCCAUCCCAGUGGAACUAAGGAAGUGACGGAGAUGACUUCGAGGGGUCGAGACAACCCGAGGGAGGUCGUCAAGUCUCUCCAAAAGAAGUUCGGGAGGAAAAGGAGCCCCGCGUCAGGCUAACGAUGGGCAAAUACACUCUGCACGGAAAUUGAGAGCCUAGUCUUCAAAAUAAAAGCACAAGCAUGGGUCGUGAGUUAGUCAUACCGUAAUCACCACGUUUCUGCAUGAAAGAAGCUCA